Long non-coding RNA from Labeo rohita (rohu), 734 nucleotides. RefSeq lists it as uncharacterized. The record is from RefSeq and is a predicted model, not a curated record. NCBI's taxonomy places the organism in Eukaryota, Metazoa, Chordata, Actinopteri, Cypriniformes, Cyprinidae. The transcript has 3 exons.
AAAAAAAAAAAAAAAAAAAUCUCUGCCAGCAGUAACCAGGUGGAAUUCCAUCAAUGAUGUCUGGAUUCCAAAAAGGCUGUCCCAACUGUUAUGUUUGUAUUAAUUACGUAUACUUUUUACUGAAAAAAAAAAAAAAAAAAAAAAAAAAUCUCUGCCAGCAGUAACCAGGUGGAAUUCCAUCAAUGAUGUCUGGAUUCCAAAAAGGCUGUCCCAACUGUUAUGUUUGUAUUAAUUACGUAUACUUUUUACAGAAAAAAAAAAAAAAAUCUCUGCCAGCAGUAACCAGGUGGAAUUCCAUCAAUGAUGUCUGGAUUCCAAAAAGGCUGUCCCAACUGUUAUGUUUCUAUUAAUUACGUAUACUUUUUACUGAAAAAAAAAAAAAAAAAAAAAUCUCUGCCAGCAGUAACCAGGUGGAAUUCCAUCAAUGAUGUCUGGAUUCCAAAAAGGCUUUCCCAACUGUUAUGUUUCUAUUAAUUACGUAUACUUUUACUGAAAAAAAAAAAAAAAAAAAAUCUCUGCCAGCAGUAACCAGGUGGAAUUCCAUCAAUGAUGUCUGGAUUCCAAAAAGGCUGUCCCAACUGUUAUGUUUGUAUUAAUUACGUAUACUUUUUACUGAAAAAAAAAAAAAAAAAAAAAAAAAUCUCUGCCAGCAGUAACCAGGUGGAAUUCCAUCAAUGAUGUCUGGAUUCCAAAAAGGCUGUCCCAACUGUUAUGUUUGUAUUAAUUACGUAUAC